This 599-nucleotide ribosomal RNA is filed under the name bacterium enrichment culture clone F61x_D5_T3_E01. Its description in RNAcentral is "bacterial SSU rRNA". It matches the Rfam family "Bacterial small subunit ribosomal RNA", at positions 1 to 595 of the family's 1533-position model. The record is from RNAcentral.
CGCCCUUAGAGUUUGAUCCUGGCUCAGAUUGAACGCUGGCGGCAUGCCUUACACAUGCAAGUCGAACGGCAGCACGGGGGCAACCUUGGUGGCGAGUGGCGAACGGGUGAGUAACAUAUCGGAACGUGCCCUGGAGUGGGGGAUAACUAGUCGAAAGAUUAGCUAAUACCGCAUACGAUCUACGGAUGAAAGUGGGGGAUCGCAAGACCUCAUGCUCGUGGAGCGGCCGAUAUCUGAUUAGCUAGUUGGUGGGGUAAAGGCCUACCAAGGCAUCGAUCAGUAGCUGGUCUGAGAGGACGACCAGCCACACUGGGACUGAGACACGGCCCAGACUCCUACGGGAGGCAGCAGUGGGGAAUUUUGGACAAUGGGCGCAAGCCUGAUCCAGCAAUGCCGCGUGAGUGAAGAAGGCCUUCGGGUUGUAAAGCUCUUUUGUCAGGGAAGAAACGGUGGAGGUUAAUACCUUCUGCUAAUGACGGUACCUGAAGAAUAAGCACCGGCUAACUACGUGCCAGCAGCCGCGGUAAUACGUAGGGUGCAAGCGUUAAUCGGAAUUACUGGGCGUAAAGCGUGCGCAGGCGGUUGUGCAAGACAGAUGU